This 22-nucleotide microRNA is filed under the name Monodelphis domestica (gray short-tailed opossum). RNAcentral describes it as "mdo-miR-7271-3p". Lineage: Eukaryota; Metazoa; Chordata; Mammalia; Didelphimorphia; Didelphidae. The record is from miRBase by way of RNAcentral.
CGUGGAAGGUAGUGUUAUGAUU